GAUGAACGCUGGCGGCGUGCCUAAUACAUGCAAGUCGAGCGAACAGAUGAGGAGCUUGCUCCUCUGACGUUAGCGGCGGACGGGUGAGUAACACGUGGAUAACCUACCUAUAAGACUGGGAUAACUUCGGGAAACCGGAGCUAAUACCGGAUAAUAUAUUGAACCGCAUGGUUCAAUAGUGAAAGACGGUUUUGCUGUCACUUAUAGAUGGAUCCGCGCCGCAUUAGCUAGUUGGUAAGGUAACGGCUUACCAAGGCAACGAUGCGUAGCCGACCUGAGAGGGUGAUCGGCCACACUGGAACUGAGACACGGUCCAGACUCCUACGGAAGGCAGCAGUAGGGAAUCUUCCGCAAUGGGCGAAAGCCUGACGGAGCAACGCCGCGUGAGUGAUGAAGGUCUUCGGAUCGUAAAACUCUGUUAUUAGGGAAGAACAAAUGUGUAAGUAACUAUGCACGUCUUGACGGUACUUAAUCAGAAAGCCACGGCUAACUACGUG
This 497-nucleotide ribosomal RNA is filed under the name uncultured bacterium. RNAcentral's name for it is "partial 16S ribosomal RNA". It matches the Rfam family "Bacterial small subunit ribosomal RNA", at positions 28 to 507 of the family's 1533-position model. The record is from RNAcentral.